This is a long non-coding RNA of Erigeron canadensis, 1412 nucleotides long. RefSeq lists it as uncharacterized. The record is from RefSeq and is a predicted model, not a curated record. The transcript has 4 exons. NCBI's taxonomy places the organism in Eukaryota, Viridiplantae, Streptophyta, Magnoliopsida, Asterales, Asteraceae.
UGGCUGAUCAGAUGAUUUAUGACAACGUUGUCGAUGUUGAUGCUAGCAAGGAGUCGUGGAAUAUUAAGGGUUAAGGUGCUUUUAUUGUGAAACAGACUAACAAAAAUAAUCCUAAUGUAGUGUCCAGCCUUGACAUGAUAUUGAUGGAUCAACAGAGUACCAAGAUUCAUGCUACAAUGAAAAAGAAGCGACUUUGACAAUGUCCUUGAAGAAGGAGCUGUCAGGGUCAAUUAUACAACAACACCAUCUCGAUCCGCCGCUUUCCAUCGAUGCGGUGGAAUUCCAAUUAUCUUUUGGUAAUAAUUUUUUCAACAGUGGCAUAAAGGUUAUAUAGUUAUUUUCUUGCAAUUUACUGCAAUUGAUAACAAACAUUACUCGUAUAAUAAAAAGGUUAUAUGAAGAACAUACUGUCAAAUAAAAGGUUUGAAGAUCAUUUAUUUUUUUCCCUACAAUUAUUAUGAACAUGUCAAUAAGGUUGGUUAAUUGUAGAUAAUUCUUAUUAGUAAUUUGGCCGUAUCAGUAAGUUUGUUUAUGUGAGUAGUUUUGGUCAUUAGAGUAUCACAAGAUUAUAGUUCUCAUUGGUGGGUAUACCCGUGAAUACAAGGUAAUAAUAGUUGUUAGUAGUUUUGGUCAUUAGAGUAUUACUGGAUUAAAGCCUGGUCAUGAUGGUGCAAGGCCUCUAAUGACAACUGCUUUAGAUAGGUAAUAGGUUAAUAGAACAGGGAGCUCUAGGACGAGGCGGCAGGGAAAAGUGGAAGUCAUUUGAUGCAGGUGAAGGUAAUUUCAAUAGCUCAACAUAUCAGUUUUGGAAUUCUAGCACACAUGGGAAAGUGAAGUGUUUUAUAUUUGCUAUAGAUGAUUAGCUUUUGUUGCGUUUGCCAUAUAGAGUGGCAAGUCCCGUUGCAACACGCGUGUAGGUAAAUUGAUACAAUAUACAUAUAUCUGUUUGUUUUGUGUAUAGAAGAUCGUCAGUAACAGUUAUAGAUAUUGGCCGACUUACAUGAAGAAGAAACAGUCUCCACUUAUUACAGCUUUUCAGUGUAAUAAGCUUCCGGUAGUAAUUGACACGUGACACAUGCUGCUCAAAAACGAUUAUUUAGAAGACCUGCAAGAAAACUUUGUGCAGAAAAGGAACUUGAAUAGUCCAAAACGAUGCGUAUUAUUUUCAACCCCUUUACUAAUAUCCAAGGAGGGUGUGUUUCUUCCAUUGGAACCAGAACUUGAUAGUUUACUUGAUAAUUAACGGAUGCAGAAUUCAUAACUUCACAUUGAGCAGAUUUGGGAUACUACAUGAUUCUUUAACCUACUUAAGAAAAAAACUCUUUUGUGAUUGUGUAUUUGUGUUGGUCGAUAAAAUCACACCAUACAGUUAUUAUUUUCAUUUAUUUACAUUUUUAUAUAAACUGAGUAUU